GGAGCGUAGCGCAGCCUGGUUAGCGCACCAGUCUGGGGGACUGGGGGUCGGAGGUUCAAAUCCUCUCGCUCCG
RNAcentral lists this transfer RNA (73 nucleotides) under Hyphomicrobium sulfonivorans. RNAcentral's name for it is "tRNA-Pro". It matches the Rfam family "tRNA". Rfam says of the family: Transfer RNA (tRNA) molecules are approximately 80 nucleotides in length. Their secondary structure includes four short double-helical elements and three loops (D, anti-codon, and T loops). Further hydrogen bonds mediate the characteristic L-shaped molecular structure. tRNAs have two regions of fundamental functional importance: the anti-codon, which is responsible for specific mRNA codon recognition, and the 3' end, to which the tRNAs corresponding amino acid is attached (by aminoacyl-tRNA synthetases). tRNAs cope with the degeneracy of the genetic code in two manners: having more than one tRNA (with a specific anti-codon) for a particular amino acid; and 'wobble' base-pairing, i.e. permitting non-standard base-pairing at the 3rd anti-codon position. Lineage: Bacteria; Pseudomonadati; Pseudomonadota; Alphaproteobacteria; Hyphomicrobiales; Hyphomicrobiaceae. The record is from RNAcentral.